UGAUUAUGAGCGGUUCCCCUGUCGUGUGCUGUAUAAAACAGCCUCUUAUGAGAAAGGCAUGGCUAAAGUGCGCCAGGCACAAGACACAUCAGACAUUGGAACUGAUAUGGAAACGGAAGUGCCACCCAAGAGAAUUAUGAGGCCAAACCCACGCUAUCAGCAGGAUGC
Molecule: long non-coding RNA, 168 nt
Organism: Asterias rubens (European starfish)
Lineage: Eukaryota; Metazoa; Echinodermata; Asteroidea; Forcipulatida; Asteriidae
Exons: 3
Source: RefSeq, a predicted model, not a curated record